CCUUUCUACGGAGAAUUCAGGCUUCUGUUUGGAAGCUGGUGUGUGCCCCACGGCCAUGAUCGUCAUGGUUUGGUUGGGGUUGCUGGUGUGGAAGAGAUUAGAGUGUUGGCUUGUGGUAUGGGCAUGCUUUUGGGUUCCCGGACCGUCACCCCAGGGGUUUUCCUGGUGCGGUUCCGUGCCUCUGGUCGCAUGGCUGGGCUGUUGUCUGGUGCGUGGGCUGGUGUGUGUGGUGGUUUGAGAACUGGAUAGUGGACGCGAGCAGAAUAUGAAAUGUUUGUUUCAUGUUUUGUUUUUUCGUUGAGCUCAAGACAAUUUGGUUUGUUUUGGGUGUUUGAUCGUUUUGUGAUCGUUAGUGUGAUGAUUUGUCGUCAAGCAGUUUUGCUAUGGAAUUUGUGUGUGAUCGACUGAUUGUGGUU
RNAcentral lists this unclassified non-coding RNA (416 nucleotides) under Bifidobacterium biavatii. RNAcentral's name for it is "partial 16S-23S ribosomal RNA". The record is from RNAcentral. Lineage: Bacteria; Bacillati; Actinomycetota; Actinomycetes; Bifidobacteriales; Bifidobacteriaceae.